Molecule: ribosomal RNA, 300 nt
Filed under: Triticum aestivum (bread wheat)
Lineage: Eukaryota; Viridiplantae; Streptophyta; Magnoliopsida; Poales; Poaceae
Description: partial small subunit ribosomal RNA
Source: RNAcentral
AUGAGUAAUUCAGGACCAAUCGUAUUUCAUCUGGACUCCUUAGGGGUGCAUCCUAGUGGAGGAAUUGAUGACGGCGGUGGUCAUUUCCCAGGUUCAGCAGUGCAUACUUGGAACAGGAGAGCAAUUGGUGCUGGUUACCUUCAAACUCAAUCAACAACGUGCACUUUAUCUUGGAUUGCAACAAGUAGAGGUGCAGGUGGUACCUCCAAGAGAGGUCGUCCAGAUUAUCGUCUUAAAUUCGUGGGUUGUGCAGUUAUAAUUCUUCUAAUGUUAGUGAAUUACCAACAAGUAUUAUAUUGA